GGGAUUAGCUAGUAGGCGGGGUAAUGGCCCACCUAGGCGACGAUCCCUAGCUGGUCUGAGAGGAUGACCAGCCACACUGGAACUGAGACACGGUCCAGACUCCUACGGGAGGCAGCAGUGGGGAAUAUUGCACAAUGGGCGCAAGCCUGAUGCAGCCAUGCCGCGUGUAUGAAGAAGGCCUUCGGGUUGUAAAGUACUUUCAGCGGGGAGGAAGGCGAUGUGGUUAAUAACCUCAUCGAUUGACGUUACCCGCAGAAGAAGCACCGGCUAACUCCGUGCCAGCAGCCGCGGUAAUACGGAGGGUGCAAGCGUUAAUCGGAAUUACUGGGCGUAAAGCGCACGCAGGCGGUCUGUUAAGUCAGAUGUGAAAUCCCCGGGCUUAACCUGGGAACUGCAUUUGAAACUGGCAGGCUUGAGUCUUGUAGAGGGGGGUA
RNAcentral lists this ribosomal RNA (434 nucleotides) under Pantoea sp. SbPT2. RNAcentral's name for it is "bacterial SSU rRNA". It matches the Rfam family "Bacterial small subunit ribosomal RNA", at positions 237 to 663 of the family's 1533-position model. Lineage: Bacteria; Pseudomonadati; Pseudomonadota; Gammaproteobacteria; Enterobacterales; Erwiniaceae. The record is from RNAcentral.